This is a small nuclear RNA of Nannospalax galili (Upper Galilee mountains blind mole rat), 102 nucleotides long. Lineage: Eukaryota; Metazoa; Chordata; Mammalia; Rodentia; Spalacidae. The record is from Ensembl.
GUACUCACUCUGGCAGUACAUACACUAAAAGUGGAAUAACAGAAGAUUAGCAUGGCCCAGUGCAAGGAUGACAUGCAAAUCCGUGAAAUGUCCCGUAUUUCU